Molecule: unclassified non-coding RNA, 603 nt
Filed under: Trisetopsis dodii
Lineage: Eukaryota; Viridiplantae; Streptophyta; Magnoliopsida; Poales; Poaceae
Description: sequence contains ITS1, 5.8S rRNA gene and ITS2
Rfam family: 5.8S ribosomal RNA (bases 216-371)
Source: RNAcentral
UCGUGACCCUGACCAAAACAGACCGCGCACACGUAAUCCAGCCCGCCGAGUGGUCUGCCGCUCGGCCAAGUCCUCGACAACCUCCUCUCCCCGGAGCGGGGGCUCGGGGUAAAAGAACCCACGGCGCCGAAGGCGUCAAGGAACACUGUGCCUAGCUCGGGGACGCGGCUGGCUUGCCGGCCGCACCCCCUGCUGCAAUGCUAUUUAAUCCACACGACUCUCGGCAACGGAUAUCUCGGCUCUCGCAUCGAUGAAGAACGUAGCGAAAUGCGAUACCUGGUGUGAAUUGCAGAAUCCCGCGAACCAUCGAGUCUUUGAACGCAAGUUGCGCCCGAGGCCAUCCGGCCGAGGGCACGCCUGCCUGGGAGUCACGCUAAACACGCUCCCACCCCCCCCCCCCCUCAUCGGGGACCGGGAUGCGGCAUGUGGCCUCCCGUCUCGCAAGAGGCGGUGGGCCGAAGAUAUGGCUGCCGGUGUAUCGUGCCGGACACAGCGCGUGGUGGGCGUCCUCGCUUUACUUAGCGCAGUGCAUUCGGAGCGUAGCCGGCGAGAUGGCCUCGAAGGACCCAUUGAACGGUGCGCAUGACGCUCCGACCGCGACCC